AGUGAACGCUGGCGGUAGGCCUAACACAUGCAAGUCGAACGGCAGCACAGUAAGAGCUUGCUCUUACGGGUGGCGAGUGGCGGACGGGUGAGGAAUACAUCGGAAUCUACUUUUUCGUGGGGGAUAACGCAGGGAAACUUACGCUAAUACCGCAUACGACCUACGGGUGAAAGCAGGGGAUCUUCGGACCUUGCGCGAUUGAAUGAGCCGAUGUCGGAUUAGCUAGUUGGCGGGGUAAAGGCCCACCAAGGCGACGAUCCGUAGCUGGUCUGAGAGGAUGAUCAGACACACUGGAACUGAGACACGGUCCAGACUCCUACGGGAGGCAGCAGUGGGGAAUAUUGGACAAUGGGCGCAAGCCUGAUCCAGCCAUACCGCGUGGGUGAAGAAGGCCUUCGGGUUGUAAAGCCCUUUUGUUGGGAAAGAAAAGCAGCAGGUUAAUACCCCGCUGUUCUGACGGUACCCAAAGAAUAAGCACCGGCUAACUUCGUG
RNAcentral lists this ribosomal RNA (492 nucleotides) under uncultured bacterium. RNAcentral's name for it is "partial 16S ribosomal RNA". It matches the Rfam family "Bacterial small subunit ribosomal RNA", at positions 29 to 507 of the family's 1533-position model. The record is from RNAcentral.